Molecule: ribosomal RNA, 404 nt
Filed under: Camaenidae sp. BR1
Lineage: Eukaryota; Metazoa; Mollusca; Gastropoda; Stylommatophora; Camaenidae
Description: partial 16S ribosomal RNA
Rfam family: Bacterial large subunit ribosomal RNA
Source: RNAcentral
CAAAAACAUAGCUGUAUGAUUAAAUAUCCAGUGUUUUCUGCUCAAUGAAUUUUAAAUAGCCGCAGUACCCUGACUGUGCUAAGGUAGCGCAAUAAAUUGACUUUUAAAUGAAGUCCUGUAUGAAAGAAAUUAUGGGGGACUACUUUCUCAUUUACAAUUAAAGAAUUUAAUUAUGAAGUGCAAAUUCUUCUAUAUAAAUAAUAGACGAGAAGACCCUAGAAAUUUUAAAGAAGUAACUUUUUGUUGGGGCAACAAAGUAGUAUAAUAAUCUACUAUUAUAACACGAACGAUAUAUCUUGAUAGAUUAAAUUACUCUAGGGAUAACAGCAUAAUUUAUAAUAGUUUGUGACCUCGAUGUUGGAUUAGGGAAUUUACAUUUAGAAGAUAACAGAUGUGCUCUGUUC